GUCUGACGGAGCAACGCCGCGUGAGCGAUGAAGGCCUUCGGGUCGUAAAGCUCUGUUGUUAGGGAAGAACAAGUGCUAGUUGAAUAAGCUGGCACCUUGACGGUACCUAACCAGAAAGCCACGGCUAACUACGUGCCAGCAGCCGCGGUAAUACGUAGGUGGCAAGCGUUAUCCGGAAUUAUUGGGCGUAAAGCGCGCGCAGGUGGUUUCUUAAGUCUGAUGUGAAAGCCCACGGCUCAACCGUGGAGGGUCAUUGGAAACUGGGAGACUUGAGUGCAGAAGAGGAAAGUGGAAUUCCAUGUGUAGCGGUGAAAUGCGUAGAGAUAUGGAGGAACACCAGUGGCGAAGGCGACUUUCUGGUCUGCAACUGACACUGAGGCGCGAAAGCGUGGGGAGCAAACAGGAUUAGAUACCCUGGUAGUCCACGCCGUAAACGAUGAGUGCUAAGUGUUAGAGGGUUUCCGCCCUUUAGUGCUGAAGUUAACGCAUUAAGCACUCCGCCUGGGGAGU
RNAcentral lists this ribosomal RNA (510 nucleotides) under uncultured bacterium. RNAcentral describes it as "bacterial SSU rRNA". It matches the Rfam family "Bacterial small subunit ribosomal RNA", at positions 381 to 881 of the family's 1533-position model. The record is from RNAcentral.